GCUGGGUGUGGUGGUGCGCACCUGUAAUCCCAGCUACUUGGGGGGCUGAGGCAGGAGGAUCACUUGAACCUGGGAGGUCAAGGUUGCAGUGAGCCAAGAUCACACCAUUGCACUUCAGCCUGGGUAACAAAGUGAGACCCUGUCUCAA
Molecule: unclassified non-coding RNA, 148 nt
Organism: Pongo abelii (Sumatran orangutan)
Lineage: Eukaryota; Metazoa; Chordata; Mammalia; Primates; Hominidae
Rfam family: Metazoan signal recognition particle RNA
About the family: The signal recognition particle (SRP) is a universally conserved ribonucleoprotein.
Source: Ensembl